Molecule: ribosomal RNA, 108 nt
Filed under: Annulohypoxylon leptascum
Lineage: Eukaryota; Fungi; Ascomycota; Sordariomycetes; Xylariales; Hypoxylaceae
Description: partial 28S ribosomal RNA
Source: RNAcentral
GGCGGAGUUAUAGCACACCCCAAGCGUAGUAAUUUACCUCGCUCCCGGGGAGUCUAUAGCGGCUUGCCGUUAAAAAAACCCCUAUAUCUUCUAGUGGUUGACCUCGGA